Molecule: ribosomal RNA, 882 nt
Filed under: uncultured Chloroflexota bacterium
Lineage: Bacteria; Bacillati; Chloroflexota
Description: bacterial SSU rRNA
Rfam family: Bacterial small subunit ribosomal RNA
Source: RNAcentral
AGAGUUUGAUCCUGGCUCAGGAUGAACGCUGGCGGCGUGCUUAACACAUGCAAGUCGAACGGACCAGAUUCGUCUGGUCAGUGGCAGACGGGUGCGUAACACGUAGGUGACCUGCCCUCGAGUGGGGAAUAACUCGACUAACGUCGAGCUAAUACCGCAUAAGUUCGCUGAAUCGCUUCAGUGAGUAAAGCAGCAAUGCGCUUGGGGAUGGGCCUGCGGCGGAUUAGGUAGUUGGUGGGGUAACGGCCUACCAAGCCGAUGAUCCGUAGGGGGCGUGAGAGCGUGGCCCCCCACAUUGGCACUGAGACACGGGCCAAACUCCUACGGGAGGCAGCAGUGAGGAAUAUUGCACAAUGGGCGAAAGCCUGAUGCAGCAACGCCGCGUGAGGGACGAAGGCCUUCGGGUCGUAAACCUCUUUUCUGAGGGACGAGUAAGGACGGUACCUCAGGAAUAAGUCUCGGCUAACUACGUGCCAGCAGCCGCGGUAAAACGUAGGAGGCGAGCGUUAUCCGGAUUUACUGGGCGUAAAGCGUACGCAGGUGGCCAUGCAAGUCGGACAUGAAAGCUCCUGGCUUAACUGGGAGAGGUGGUUCGAAACUGCAUAGCUUGAGGUUGGGAGAGGGACGUGGAAUUCCCGGUGUAGUGGUGGAAUGCGUAGAUAUCGGGAGGAACACCAGUGGCGCAAGCGGCGUCCUGGCCCACACCUGACGCUGAGGUACGAAAGCGUGGGUAGCAAACAGGAUUAGAUACCCUGGUAGUCCACGCUGUAAACGAUGUCAACUAGGUGUCGGCAGUUUUACACUGGCGGUGCCGAAGCUAACGCGUUAAGUUGACCGCCUGGGGACUACGGCCGCAAGGCUAAAACUCAAAGGAAUUGACGG